ACAAAGGACUUCCUAGUGGGUGUGAAAGGCAGCGGUGGCCACAGAGGCGGCGGAGAGAUGGCCUUCAGCGGUUCCCAGGCUCCCUACCUGAGUCCAGCCGUCCCCUUUUCUGGGACUAUUCAAGGAGGUCUCCAGGACGGACUUCAGAUCACUGUCAAUGGGACCGUUCUCAGCUCCAGUGGAACGAGGUUUGCUGUGAACUUUCAGACUGGCUUCAGUGGAAAUGACAUUGCCUUCCACUUCAACCCUCGGUUUGAAGACGGAGGGUACGUGGUGUGCAACACGAGGCAGAACGGAAGCUGGGGGCCUGAGGAGAGGAAGACGCACAUGCCUUUCCAGAAGGGGAUGCCCUUUGACCUCUGCUUCCUGGUGCAGAGCUCAGAUUUCAAGGUGCACCUGCUGCUUCUUUUACUCUGAAAAUAAGAACUAGAGGAGUCAUCACGUUGCUA
Molecule: small RNA, 449 nt
Filed under: Pan troglodytes (chimpanzee)
Lineage: Eukaryota; Metazoa; Chordata; Mammalia; Primates; Hominidae
Description: processed transcript
Source: RNAcentral